AAAAAAGGUAAGCUACUAAGAGCGAAUGGUGGAUGCCUUGACUGGUAAAGGCGAUGAAGGACGUACUAGACUGCGAUAAGCUACGGGGAGCUGUCAAGAAGCUUUGAUCCGUAGAUUUCCGAAUGGGGCAACCCAAUGUAUAGAGAUAUACAUUACCUAUAUAGGAGCGAACGAGGGGAAUUGAAACAUCUUAGUACCCUCAGGAAAAGAAAUCAAUAGAGAUUGCGUCAGUAGCGGCGAGCGAAAGCGUAAGAGGGCAAACCCAGUGCUUGCACUGGGGGUUGUAGGACUGCAAUGUGCAAGAGGUGAGUUUAGCAGAACAUUCUGGAAAGUAUAGCCAUAGAGGGUGAUAGUCCCGUAUGCGAAAAACAAACCUUAGCUAGCAGUAUCCUGAGUAGGGCGGGACACGAGAAAUCCUGUCUGAAGCUGGGUCGACCACGAUCCAACCCUAAAUACUAAUACCAGAUCGAUAGUGCACAAGUACCGUGAGGGAAAGGUGAAAAGAACUGAGGUGAUCAGAGUGAAAUAGAACCUGAAACCAUUUGCUUACAAUCAUUCAGAGCACUAUGUAGCAAUACAGUGUGAUGGACUGCCUUUUGCAUAAUGAGCCUGCGAGUUGUGGUGUCUGGCAAGGUUAAGCAAACGCGAAGCCGUAGCGAAAGCGAGUCUGAAUAGGGCGCUUAGUCAGAUGCUGCAGACCCGAAACGAAGUGAUCUAUCCAUGAGCAAGUUGAAGCUAGUGUAAGAACUAGUGGAGGACUGAACCCAUAGGCGUUGAAAAGCCCCGGGAUGACUUGUGGAUAGGGGUGAAAGGCCAAUCAAACUUCGUGAUAGCUGGUUCUCUCCGAAAUAUAUUUAGGUAUAGCGUUGUGUCGUAAUAUAAGGGGGUAGAGCACUGAAUGGGCUAGGGCAUACACCAAUGUACCAAACCCUAUCAAACUCCGAAUACCUUAUAUGUAAUCACAGCAGUCAGGCGGCGAGUGAUAAAAUCCGUCGUCAAGAGGGAAACAACCCAGACUACCAGCUAAGGUCCCUAAAUCUUACUUAAGUGGAAAACGAUGUGAAGUUACUUAAACAACCAGGAGGUUGGCUUAGAAGCAGCCAUCCUUUAAAGAAAGCGUAAUAGCUCACUGGUCUAGUGAUUUUGCGCGGAAAAUAUAACGGGGCUAAAGUAAGUACCGAAGCUGUAGACUUGCGCACAACUUAGAUUAUUUAAGUUUAGAAUAUGAGAAACUAAGUUAUAUGUUUAGUUAUAUUUUUACUGAUUUUUAUAGAGUAAAGAUAGAAAUAAAACUUAGUAAAAUCAGUAAAAAUAUUCUUAGACUAAAGUUAAGUAGUUUAAGUUGUGUGCAAGUGGUAGGAGAGCGUUCUAUUUGCGUCGAAGGUAUACCGGUAAGGAGUGCUGGAGCGAAUAGAAGUGAGCAUGCAGGCAUGAGUAGCGAUAAUUAAUGUGAGAAUCAUUAACGCCGUAAACCCAAGGUUUCCUACGCGAUGCUCGUCAUCGUAGGGUUAGUCGGGUCCUAAGUCGAGUCCGAAAGGGGUAGACGAUGGCAAAUUGGUUAAUAUUCCAAUACCAACAUUAGUGUGCGAUGGAAGGACGCUUAGGGCUAAGGGGGCUAGCGGAUGGAAGUGCUAGUCUAAGGUCGUAGGAGGUUAUACAGGCAAAUCCGUAUAACAAUACUCCGAGAACUGAAAGGCUUUUUGAAGUCUUCGGAUGGAUAGAAGAACCCCUGAUGCCAUCGAGCCAAGAAAAGUUUCUAAGUUUAGCUAAUGUUGCCCGUACCGUAAACCGACACAGGUGGGUGGGAUGAGUAUUCUAAGGCGCGUGGAAGAACUCUCUUUAAGGAACUCUGCAAAAUAGCACCGUAUCUUCGGUAUAAGGUGUGGUUCGCUUCGUAUUAGGAUUUACUCCGAAAGCGAAGAAACUUACAACAAAGAGUCCCUCCCGACUGUUUACCAAAAACACAGCACUCUGCUAACUCGUAAGAGGAUGUAUAGGGUGUGACGCCUGCCCGGUGCUCGAAGGUUAAUUGAUGGGGUUAGCAUUAGCGAAGCUCUUGAUCGAAGCCCGAGUAAACGGCGGCCGUAACUAUAACGGUCCUAAGGUAGCGAAAUUCCUUGUCGGUUAAAUACCGACCUGCAUGAAUGGCGUAACGAGAUGGGAGCUGUCUCA
This 2172-nucleotide ribosomal RNA is filed under the name Campylobacter coli. RNAcentral describes it as "partial 23S ribosomal RNA". It matches the Rfam family "Bacterial large subunit ribosomal RNA", at positions 1 to 2023 of the family's 2925-position model. Lineage: Bacteria; Pseudomonadati; Campylobacterota; Epsilonproteobacteria; Campylobacterales; Campylobacteraceae. The record is from RNAcentral.